GGUUAAGCGACUAAGCGUACACGGUGGAUGCCCUGGCAGUCAGAGGCGAUGAAGGACGUGCUAAUCUGCGAAAAGCGUCGGUAAGGUGAUAUGAACCGUUAUAACCGGCGAUGUCCGAAUGGGGAAACCCAGUGCAAUUCGUUGCACUAUCGUUAACUGAAUACAUAGGUUAACGAGGCGAACCGGGGGAACUGAAACAUCUAAGUACCCCGAGGAAAAGAAAUCAACCGAGAUUCCCCCAGUAGCGGCGAGCGAACGGGGAGCAGCCCAGAGUCUGAAUCAGCUUGUGUGUUAGUGGAACGGUCUGGAAAGUCCGACGGUACAGGGUGAUAGUCCCGUACACCAAAAUGCACAGGCUGUGAACUCGAAGAGUAGGGCGGGACACGUGGUAUCCUGUCUGAAUAUGGGGGGACCAUCCUCCAAGGCUAAAUACUCCUGACUGACCGAUAGUGAACCAGUACCGUGAGGGAAAGGCGAAAAGAACCCCGGCGAGGGGAGUGAAAAAGAACCUGAAACCGUGUACGUACAAGCAGUGGGAGCACCUUCGGGUGUGACUGCGUACCUUUUGUAUAAUGGGUCAGCGACUUAUAUUCUGUAGCAAGGUUAACCGUAUAGGGGAGCCGCAGGGAAACCGAGUCUUAACUGGGCGUUAAGUUGCAGGGUAUAGACCCGAAACCCGGUGAUCUAGCCAUGGGCAGGUUGAAGGUUGGGUAACACUAACUGGAGGACCGAACCGACUAAUGUUGAAAAAUUAGCGGAUGACUUGUGGCUGGGGGUGAAAGGCCAAUCAAACCGGGAGAUAGCUGGUUCUCCCCGAAAGCUAUUUAGGUAGCGCCUCGUGAACUCAUCUUCGGGGGUAGAGCACUGUUUCGGCUAGGGGGUCAUCCCGACUUACCAACCCGAUGCAAACUACGAAUACCGAAGAAUGUUAUCACGGGAGACACACGGCGGGUGCUAACGUCCGUCGUGAAGAGGGAAACAACCCAGACCGCCAGCUAAGGUCCCAAAGUCAUGGUUAAGUGGGAAACGAUGUGGGAAGGCACAGACAGCCAGGAUGUUGGCUUAGAAGCAGCCAUCAUUUAAAGAAAGCGUAAUAGCUCACUGGUCGAGUCGGCCUGCGCGGAAGAUGUAACGGGGCUAAACCAUGCACCGAAGCUGCGGCAGCGACACUAUGUGUUGUUGGGUAGGGGAGCGUUCUGUAAGCCUGCGAAGGUGACCUGUGAGGGUUGCUGGAGGUAUCAGAAGUGCGAAUGCUGACAUAAGUAACGAUAAAGCGGGUGAAAAGCCCGCUCGCCGGAAGACCAAGGGUUCCUGUCCAACGUUAAUCGGGGCAGGGUGAGUCGACCCCUAAGGCGAGGCCGAAAGGCGUAGUCGAUGGGAAACAGGUUAAUAUUCCUGUACUUGGUGUUACUGCGAAGGGGGGACGGAGAAGGCUAUGUUAGCCGGGCGACGGUUGUCCCGGUUUAAGCAUGUAGGCUGAUUGUCCAGGCAAAUCCGGAUAAUCAAGGCUGAGGUGUGAUGACGAGGCACUACGGUGCUGAAGUAACAAAUGCCCUGCUUCCAGGAAAAGCCUCUAAGCAUCAGGUAACAUCAAAUCGUACCCCAAACCGACACAGGUGGUCAGGUAGAGAAUACCAAGGCGCUUGAGAGAACUCGGGUGAAGGAACUAGGCAAAAUGGUGCCGUAACUUCGGGAGAAGGCACGCUGGUGUGUAGGUGAAGUCCCUGCGGAUGGAGCUGAGACCAGUCGAAGAUACCAGCUGGCUGCAACUGUUUAUUAAAAACACAGCACUGUGCAAACACGAAAGUGGACGUAUACGGUGUGACGCCUGCCCGGUGCCGGAAGGUUAAUUGAUGGGGUUAUCCGUAAGGAGAAGCUCUUGAUCGAAGCCCCGGUAAACGGCGGCCGUAACUAUAACGGUCCUAAGGUAGCGAAAUUCCUUGUCGGGUAAGUUCCGACCUGCACGAAUGGCGUAAUGAUGGCCAGGCUGUCUCCACCCGAGACUCAGUGAAAUUGAACUCGCUGUGAAGAUGCAGUGUACCCGCGGCAAGACGGAAAGACCCCGUGAACCUUUACUAUAGCUUGACACUGAACAUUGAGCCUUGAUGUGUAGGAUAGGUGGGAGGCUUUGAAGCGUGGACGCCAGUCUGCGUGGAGCCAACCUUGAAAUACCACCCUUUAAUGUUUGAUGUUCUAACGUUGGCCCCUGACCGGGGUUGCGGACAGUGUCUGGUGGGUAGUUUGACUGGGGCGGUCUCCUCCCAAAGCGUAACGGAGGAGCACGAAGGUUAGCUAAUCCUGGUCGGACAUCAGGAGGUUAGUGCAAUGGCAUAAGCUAGCUUGACUGCGAGCGUGACGGCGCGAGCAGGUGCGAAAGCAGGUCAUAGUGAUCCGGUGGUUCUGAAUGGAAGGGCCAUCGCUCAACGGAUAAAAGGUACUCCGGGGAUAACAGGCUGAUACCGCCCAAGAGUUCAUAUCGACGGCGGUGUUUGGCACCUCGAUGUCGGCUCAUCACAUCCUGGGGCUGAAGUAGGUCCCAAGGGUAUGGCUGUUCGCCAUUUAAAGUGGUACGCGAGCUGGGUUUAGAACGUCGUGAGACAGUUCGGUCCCUAUCUGCCGUGGGCGCUGGAGAAUUGAGGGGGGCUGCUCCUAGUACGAGAGGACCGGAGUGGACGCAUCACUGGUGUUCGGGUUGUCAUGCCAAUGGCACUGCCCGGUAGCUAAAUGCGGAAGAGAUAAGUGCUGAAAGCAUCUAAGCACGAAACUUGCCCCGAGAUGAGUUCUCCCUGAGACUUUAAGUCUCCUGAAGGAACGUUAAAGACGAUGACGUUGAUAGGCCGGGUGUGUAAGCGCAGCGAUGCGUUGAGCUAACCGGUACUAAUGAACCGUGAGGCUUAACCUU
RNAcentral lists this ribosomal RNA (2902 nucleotides) under Klebsiella pneumoniae. Its description in RNAcentral is "23S ribosomal RNA". It matches the Rfam family "Bacterial large subunit ribosomal RNA". The record is from RNAcentral. Lineage: Bacteria; Pseudomonadati; Pseudomonadota; Gammaproteobacteria; Enterobacterales; Enterobacteriaceae.